Molecule: non-coding RNA, 529 nt
Organism: Pelobates cultripes (western spadefoot toad)
Lineage: Eukaryota; Metazoa; Chordata; Amphibia; Anura; Pelobatidae
Source: the annotation of a GenBank genome assembly
GGGUCCUAAAGCUAACCAUUCGCCUUGCUUCCUUGAGCUUCUGGCAAACAUCUCUCUAAUGAGACAGAAAAGGAGUAUUUUUUUUAUAUACAUCCCUACAUGCUUAUUAACUCUUAAUAGGGAACACAUGAGAUGGGCGGCAGCAUUGUAACAUAGCUGCGUGAUACAAAAGUGAACACAAAUACAAAGAAACUAGUCCUGCGCUCAAACUCCCAUUACUAAUGGGCGGCAGCAAUGACUAUAGUACUUCACCUCCAUUCAGAAAUAGCACAGGUGCAGCAAUUGCCACAAACAUCCCAGUUGCCGAAUAGAAUGAUUCUCUAUGAGAACCCUUUUCUGUUUGAACAAUAGUUCAAACAAAGCUGAACACAAAAUCUUACUUCUAUUAGCUUGACAGCUAGGUAUUUCUAAAUGGAUUAAAAAAUCUGCAGGUUUCACUUGGGGGACAAGUCAGGCCUAAAGCAUUUUAAAAAGCUGAAUUGUGCCUUAGGGGGUUUGGAAUGUCAAUUCGGGUUACUUUUUUUACGCC